GGCGAGUGCCGCCGGGCUCUGAACUGAGUGACCUCAGGAGGCGACACGCAAGCUUCUAAUACCGUUAGAACGGUCGAAUACCGCGUCUUGCAAGUCCCUUCCGACGUUAACGCCUGGAAGUGUCCGUGACUUUGGCUUUGUUUAAGGCAAUGGUUCAUCAGUUGGUGACUUUCAAUUGAUGGUCAAUUCUUGACGUUUUACAGUUCACAUACAUGUACACCAGCGAGCAGUAAAAUCAAGAUAUAUGUUCCGGAUUGCUUUUCUGUUGCUUUGAUAAAACUGACCAAAGCAGUUUGGAAGAGGAAAGUGUUUAUUGGGCUUAUCACCAUGGUUUCGGAAAGUCAUGGAAGGAACUCUAGCAGAAACCAUAGACUCACGCUGCCUCCUGGCUUGGGCUCAGCUGUCUUUCUUUUGCUCUGUUCCGCCUGUGUGAGGAAGGACAGGCCACAAGGGAUGGACCUUACCAAAUCAGUUAGCAAGCAAUCCCUCUUCCCAAGUGGCUACAGUAAAAACUAACGAGGACAAUAUAAAAUGCUGACAAUAAGCCAAGCACUAAUGAAAAACCUUUCCCAUAUGUAGAUCAUAUGGUAAUUCUGUAACUAGAUAAUAUUUCCUAUCAUCCUAUUAGUAAACAACAAACGACAACAAA
Molecule: long non-coding RNA, 649 nt
Filed under: Rattus norvegicus (Norway rat)
Lineage: Eukaryota; Metazoa; Chordata; Mammalia; Rodentia; Muridae
Description: long non-coding RNA NONRATT022235
Source: RNAcentral